This 200-nucleotide unclassified non-coding RNA is filed under the name uncultured Pseudeurotium. Its description in RNAcentral is "sequence contains ITS2". Lineage: Eukaryota; Fungi; Ascomycota; Leotiomycetes; Thelebolales; Pseudeurotiaceae. The record is from RNAcentral.
UUAAGUUCAGCGGGUAUCCCUACCUGAUCCGAGGUCAACCUGAAAAAAUUGGGGGUUGCUGGCUAGCACACACCCGGGUCUCCGAAGCGAGAAGAAUUACUACGCUUGAAGCCGAGUGGCGCCGCCACUGAUUUUAAGGCCUGCCGGGACCGGCAGAGCCCAAUACCAAGCAGAGCUUGAGGGUUGUAAUGACGCUCGAA